RNAcentral lists this transfer RNA (98 nucleotides) under Desulfobulbaceae bacterium. RNAcentral describes it as "tRNA-Sec". It matches the Rfam family "Selenocysteine transfer RNA". Lineage: Bacteria; Pseudomonadati; Thermodesulfobacteriota; Desulfobulbia; Desulfobulbales; Desulfobulbaceae. The record is from RNAcentral.
GGAAGUGGUCAGGGCACUGGUGGCCCUCCCGGACUUCAAAUCCGGUGUGUGGGGUUAAUAGCCUCUCAGGUGGGUUCGAUUCCCAUGCACUUCCGCCA